CGUGUGUUUAUUUAUGAUAGUUUUGAUUCCAAAUGUUGUAAAGGAAAACCCUACCCCUUUCAUUUCUGUAAAUCAGUUCAUUUUUCAUUUUUAAGUAUGUCUGGUGCUAGGACUUAUUGCAGAUAACCACAGAGCACAACAUGUGCCCAAAGGCAACACAUUCAGAUUAAAAAGGUCUGACACAGGACAAGUUUGGGAGAAUCAGGAGCUGAGAUCUUUUUUCCUGCCAAGCUACAAGCAUUUGCCAAGUGCCAGCUAUUAAGGCAAAUCUUUGUUAUUAGGCCUACAUCAAAGCUUUUUUGAUAAAGAACAGCUAAAGAACAGCCGUAGCUUCAAGUAAUCCACAUGUCACAGCAAUUUUCUGUUACUUAAUUCCACUCUUGCCUUACCUCGUAUCUCAAAACAAGAGCUGAACUCGUUUAUGCCAAGAGACGGUCAGCUCUGCAAGGAGCUAAUGCUCUUCUGGUGCAAGUCAUUCUGCGUGCAAGCAGAGAAGCCAUUUCCUCUGAAGCACGGCUUAUCAUUGCUCAGAUACUCCUGGAAGGCAGUCUCCUGUUAAUGCCAGUUCUUCAACAAAAUGCUGACUUUAAAAUAAAUAUGCAAGGAUAUCAGAUGGGCUGGGGGACUGUGCCACUGUGUGAGGGAUCUGCAAUGCGAUGUGAAUUGGGAAUUCCAGUCCUGAGCAGCCAGGCAGGGAGAACAAGACUUCUCUACCUUAUCUACAAUUUCUGGUAGUGUUGCAUGUAUGUCUGGCUGUGUCAGUGUCCCCUCUAUGUGUAUGCAAGUGUAAAUACUUGUCCAGCACCUGGUUGUCUCCUACAAAAUGUACAUGGCUCCACUACAGCAACCAGGAAGGAACAAUCCCCAGGUCCUGGUGACCACAGGAUUCAGCAGUUCCUGUAAGAACCUUCAGUUUCGUGUUAAAACAUCCACUCUAUGGAAGACUCACAGGAAUAAUAAAAUAAGUGAAUGUAA
This 975-nucleotide long non-coding RNA is filed under the name Anas platyrhynchos platyrhynchos (common mallard). Its description in RNAcentral is "lncRNA (ENSAPLG00000019741.1)". Lineage: Eukaryota; Metazoa; Chordata; Aves; Anseriformes; Anatidae. The record is from RNAcentral.